This is a non-coding RNA of Sus scrofa (pig), 1181 nucleotides long. NCBI's taxonomy places the organism in Eukaryota, Metazoa, Chordata, Mammalia, Artiodactyla, Suidae. The record is from RefSeq and is a predicted model, not a curated record.
GAAACUGAGCAGGAGACAGCAAGGAUUUGGGGGAUAAUGGCAAGGAACCAGCAGGGACGCCCGGAACCUUUCUGCUAUGCUUUCUACCCGGACGAGUCGGGGAGGAGACCGGAAGUCCUUUGCCGCCGGGUUCCGGGGUUCCUGGGCUACUACGAUGGCGAUGAGUUUCGAGUGGCCGUGGCAGUAUCGCUUCCCGCCCUUCUUUACGUUGCAACCGAACGUGGACACUCGGCAGAAGCAGCUGGCCGCCUGGUGCUCUCUGGUCCUGUCCUUCUGCCGCCUGCACAAACAGUCCAGCAUGACGGUGAUGGAAGCUCAGGAGAGCCCGCUUUUCAACAACGUGAAGCUACAGCGGAAGCUCCCUGUGGAAUCAAUCCAAGUUGUAUUAGAGGAACUGAGGAAGAAAGGGAACUUGGAGUGGUUGGAUAAGAACAAGUCUAGCUUCCUGAUCAUGUGGCGGAGGCCAGAAGAAUGGGGGAAACUCAUCUAUCAAUGGGUUUCCAGGAGUGGCCAGAACAACUCCGUAUUCACUCUGUAUGAACUGACCAAUGGGGAAGACACAGAGGAUGAGGAGUUCCAUGGGCUGGAUGAGGCAACUCUACUGCGGGCUCUGCAGGCCCUACAGCAGGAGCACAAGGCUGAGAUCAUCACCGUCAGCGAUGGCCGAGGCGUCAAGUUCUUCUAGCAGAGACCUGUCUCCCUUUACUUCUUACCUCCCACCCUUCCAGGGCUUUCAAAAGGAGACAGACCAAGUGUCCCCACAGACUGGAUCUGUGACUCCACCAGAUUCAAAAGGGCUCCAGUCCAGGGAUGGGUUUCUUACCUUCACCAUGUGUCUGUCCCUGGAAUAGGGUGAGGCUGGGGUGCCAGGGAGAAAAGAUGUGCAUCUUCUUGCCCCACCUCCUCUUCUGAACUGGGGUCUGUAAACCUGACACUUCACAUGUGUUCACAUAAGUUCAUACACACAUGCGCCUGCACAAGCUUCUGUCUCUUCCCUCUCCUACCCUCUCAGCUGCUGCCACCUCCCCUCUCAGGCUGGUGCUGGAUCCUUCUUAGGGGAUGGGCAAAGCCCUGGCUGCAGGCAGCCUUCCAGGCAAUAUGAAGAUAGGAGGCCCAGGAAGGGGCCUGGCAGUGAGAGGCGGGCCGGACACAGAUUUAUAACAUUAAAAAGCUCAACCCCA